Saccostrea cuccullata (small rock oyster) is the source of this 553-nucleotide long non-coding RNA. RefSeq lists it as uncharacterized. The record is from RefSeq and is a predicted model, not a curated record. Lineage: Eukaryota; Metazoa; Mollusca; Bivalvia; Ostreida; Ostreidae. The transcript is spliced from 3 exons.
UACGCCGAAAAUAGAUUAUACGGUUAUAAAGACAAAAAUAUACAUAUUGGUGCCGUUCGGUUUCAUGUAACAACUGUACAAGCGAUGUCACCCCGAAUGCAGUUUCACGAUGUACAUAUACUUCAUUGUUUUUCACGUAUAGAGAAGGAAAAGAAUCAACAUAUGUCAGCAGUUUAAAUUUUCCACCUACUCAACUCUAGAUAGCUGUUCCUGUGGAAUCUGAUGUAUGAAAAGAUCUCUGUGUGUUGCAAACACUAGAAUGGGCUAAGAAUCAUAUUCAUGUGUCAAAGCCUGAAAUCUGCAUGGCGCAGUUGUUAGAGCAGCUCUCAAUUGUCUUAAAGUAAGGAGCACUGUGGAACGUGGAGGCCAGUCCUUUGGAUGAGACUGUAUAAACUGUGUUCCCCUGCUGCAGUAGACUUUGGCAUCAAAAAGAUCCCUCAGAACUCAAUGGCCAAAAGUACCGAGUAUAGGUUUAAAGCUGCAGCCCUCCACCAGCAAGUGGUAGCGUCUUCAUAUGAGUGAAAAAAAUUCUUGAGAGGGACAUUACACAGCA